UCAGGCGUCAAGACGCGGCCAUUCUCUCCCACACUCCCAGUGAUGGAUAAUCUGGCUUUGUUUCUUAUGGCUUCAGAAAAGGACACAAAUAUUGCUGACGUCUCUGAUGGAAAAACUGCUGUAUUGCCUAAAAUGUCUAUUUACCUUAGUGAUACUUUGAGCAUAAAAGUUGAAUUUCAUCUAAUAAAUGUGAAUUGUAGUCAAAAUUCUGAUGAUCACUCUUCCUUAAAGGUCUGGCUCAAGGACUACCAUCAGGUUGCUAAAUUCUGGGUAUUCUGCGAGGAAGUUGGGUUAAAAGUCUGUGCACUCUUUGCCACCUUCAUUCUCUUCGCUUCUGCCCUGG
This 343-nucleotide long non-coding RNA is filed under the name Homo sapiens (human). RNAcentral describes it as "HSALNT0364723". Lineage: Eukaryota; Metazoa; Chordata; Mammalia; Primates; Hominidae. The record is from RNAcentral.